This 253-nucleotide ribosomal RNA is filed under the name uncultured bacterium. Its description in RNAcentral is "partial 16S ribosomal RNA". It matches the Rfam family "Bacterial small subunit ribosomal RNA", at positions 524 to 776 of the family's 1533-position model. The record is from RNAcentral.
AACGUAGGAGACGAACGUUAUCCGGAGUUACUGGGCGUAAAGGGCGUGUAGGCGGUAUGCUAAGUCUGGCGUGAAAGCUCUCGGCUAAACCGGGAGAGGUCGUUGGAUACUGGCAAACUAGAGGAUGGUAGAGGCGUGUGGAAUUCCGGGUGUAGUGGUGAAAUGCGUAGAGAUCCGGAGGAACACCAGUGGCGAAGGCGACACGCUGGGCCAUACCUGACGCUAAAGCGCGACAGCAUGGGGAGCAAACGGG